CACUUGGGAGACUGAGACAAGAGGGUUCUGUGAGCUCAGGAUUUUGAGGUAACAGUGAGCUAUGAUUGCAUCACUGCACUACAGCCUGGGUGACAGAGACCCUGUCUCAAAAAAAAAGAAAAAAAAAAAAAGGAUUUACUCAGUUUCAAUCAAAAUGAGGAACUGCUAUCAGAUCUAAGGUUGAGCCAUUUUGAUAGAUAAACACACAUCAUAGGCAAAUAUUAGUACAAUGUUUUCCUUCAUAUUUUUCAACUGGAAUAGAUAGGGAGAAGUCUGAAUUUUUCACAUCCAGAGGUCACAGAUUACAGUUUAAAAUUUAGCCUGGGAUUUUCAGCCUGACAGAUUUAAGUCCUGGCUUAUUCACUUAUUUAUAUAGAGAAGAUAACAAUACUUACCUCAGACAUAGCUCUAACUGUCUCAGAAAACAACUGUGGUCUUCUAUGCUCUUUUCAGGAGAUGAUCUUGGCAGAUUAGAAAUAUCUGGAAUAUAAGAUUUUGAUUAAUGAAGCCGCAUUCAAGGUCCAAUUCCAGAAGAACCUACAUGCUGAAGAAGCUGAAAAAGAUUUUCAUGUGCUCUGACUGGGGACUCAGUGUGUAUCUGACUUCCCUGAACUAUCUACAUCUUCAUGAGAUCCUUUUCUAGAUAAUUUUAGAGCUUGAAAUAACAAUCCUCCUUCUCUAAGUGACGGUGGAUGGAAGAAAUAGACAGGAAAAGCGGUAUGUUAGUAAAGGUAACGGUUUCAUUUAUCUAAUUUCACCAGAAGCAUAUGAGUAGUACGUAUGUAAUGAACAACUAAAAAAUUGAAAUGAUUUGGUGGAAAUAUAGCUGUAACUUCCUACUUUAAGUGAUUUACCUUCCAAUCUUGGCUAGGACAACAGAAGAUAUGGUUUUUAAAUAAAGCUUUUCCUUGAUGUAAACAUAGAAGAGUUAUUGAAUACUUUGAGUUGCUCUGUUUUACCAGUGAUCAUUAGGUUACCUAGUGUAAAUUCCCUGGUUCAGAGGCAUAGAAAUUGAGACUUUGCAAGCAGAACGAUUUGCCACCAUGAGCAGCAUUGCCCCAGGUCUAGAAGGCACAUCUCUGGAUGAAGAGUUCCUUUCUCACUAUGACUUUGAGUCUCCCAAAAGCUAAUGAAAUCCAAAGUCUUCUUUGGUCUGGAACAGUUUUAGUUCUGCAUUGCUGUUUCAUCUGACAUGCA
RNAcentral lists this long non-coding RNA (1197 nucleotides) under Callithrix jacchus (white-tufted-ear marmoset). RNAcentral describes it as "lncRNA (ENSCJAG00000072559.1)". Lineage: Eukaryota; Metazoa; Chordata; Mammalia; Primates; Cebidae. The record is from RNAcentral.